Molecule: ribosomal RNA, 445 nt
Filed under: uncultured bacterium
Lineage: Bacteria
Description: bacterial SSU rRNA
Rfam family: Bacterial small subunit ribosomal RNA
Source: RNAcentral
CCAGACUCCUACGGGAGGCAGCAGUGGGGAAUAUUGCACAAUGGGGGAAACCCUGAUGCAGCGACGCCGCGUGAAGGAUGAAGUAUUUCGGUAUGUAAACUUCUACCAGCAGGGAAGAAAAUGACGGUACCUGACUAAGAAGCCCCGGCUAACUACGUGCCAGCAGCCGCGGUAAUACGUAGGGGGCAAGCGUUAUCCGGAUUUACUGGGUGUAAAGGGAGCGUAGACGGCAUGGCAAGUCUGAUGUGAAAACCCGGGGCUCAACCCCGGGACUGCAUUGGAAGCUGUCAGGCCGGAGUGUCGGAGAGGCAAGUGGAAUUCCUAGUGUAGCGGUGAAAUGCGUAGAUAUUAGGAGGAACACCAGUGGCGAAGGCGGCUUGCUGGACGAUGACUGACGUUGAGGCUCGAAAGCGUGGGGAGCAAACAGGAUUAGAUACCCGAGUAC